This 849-nucleotide ribosomal RNA is filed under the name Penicillium chrysogenum. Its description in RNAcentral is "eukaryotic LSU rRNA". It matches the Rfam family "Eukaryotic large subunit ribosomal RNA", at positions 67 to 933 of the family's 3401-position model. Lineage: Eukaryota; Fungi; Ascomycota; Eurotiomycetes; Eurotiales; Aspergillaceae. The record is from RNAcentral.
AACCGGGAUUGCCCUAGUAACGGCGAGUGAAGCGGCAAGAGCUCAAAUUUGAAAGCUGGCUCCUUCGGGGUCCGCAUUGUAAUUUGCAGAGGAUGCUUCGGGAGCGGUCCCCAUCUAAGUGCCCUGGAACGGGCCGUCAUAGAGGGUGAGAAUCCCGUCUGGGAUGGGGUGCCCGCGCCCGUGUGAAGCUCCUUCGACGAGUCGAGUUGUUUGGGAAUGCAGCUCUAAUUGGGUGGUAAAUUUCAUCUAAAGCUAAAUAUUGGCCGGAGACCGAUAGCGCACAAGUAGAGUGAUCGAAAGAUGAAAAGCACUUUGAAAAGAGAGUUAAACAGCACGUGAAAUUGUUGAAAGGGAAGCGCUUGCGAUCAGACUCGCCCGCGGGGUUCAGCCGGCAUUCGUGCCGGUGUACUUCCCCGUGGGCGGGCCAGCGUCGGUUUGGGCGGCCGGUCAAAGGCCCCUGGAAUGUAACGCCUCUCGGGGCGUCUUAUAGCCAGGGGUGCCAUGCGGCCUGCCCGGACCGAGGAACGCGCUUCGGCUCGGACGCUGGCAUAAUGGUCGUAAGCGACCCGUCUUGAAACACGGACCAAGGAGUCUAACAUCUACGCGAGUGUUCGGGUGUCAAACCCGUGCGCGCAGUGAAAGCGAACGGAGGUGGGAACCCCCCCGGGGUGCACCAUCGACCGAUCCUGAUGUCUUCGGAUGGAUUUGAGUAAGAGCGUAGCUGUUGGGACCCGAAAGAUGGUGAACUAUGCCUGAAUAGGGCGAAGCCAGAGGAAACUCUGGUGGAGGCUCGCAGCGGUUCUGACGUGCAAAUCGAUCGUCAAAUUUGGGUAUAGGGGCGAAAGACUA